AUCUGGUUGAUCCUACUAGUAGUCACGCUCUUGUCUCAGAGGCUAAGCCACGCAUGUCUAAGUACAUACCUUUAAACGGUGAAGCCGCGAAUGGUCCAUUAAGUCAGCUAUGGUCACGUGGAUCGCUCAUGCUACAUGGAUAGCCGUAAUAAUUCUAGGGCUAGUACGUGCCACUAUGCCCUGACCCUAGAGGGAACGGGUGGGUUUAUUAGAACAGAACCAACCAAGGGCGGCUUUGGUCGUCAUUGUUGCAUUCUGUGAAGACUGUGGAUAACUUCACUGAUCGCAGUCGUCCUUGUGCCGGCAACCGAUCUAGAACAUGUCUGCCCUAUCAAUUUUCGAUGGUAGGUGAUCUGCUUACCGUGGUGCUAACGUAUAAAGGGGAAUCAGGGUUCGAUUUCGGAGAGGAAGCCUGAAAAAUGGCUACUAACUCCAAGGAAGGCAGCAGGCACGCAAAUAACCAAUCCCGGAAUGGAGAGGUAGUGAUAAGUGGAUAAGUGACUCACUAGAGGCUCUGAAAUUUGAAUGAGUACAAUUUUUGUCCUUCAACAAGGAUCAACUGGAUGGCAAGUCUGGUGCCAGCAGCCGCGGUAACUCCAGCUCCAGAAGCGUAUAUUAAAGUUGUUGCAGUUAAAAAGCUCGUAGUUGGAUCUGGGUCGCAUAGCUACAUGCCGCCGCUGGUGGAUCUGGCCUGGUUUCUGCCGGGCUGAGCUUGCUAGUCGGUCUAUUGGUUGUGCUUCCCUUCUGCUGUGUCCGUUUACAGUUGUCGGAGUGACGGUGGGCUUGCCUGCUAGUCUGUCGGAAUGCUUCCCGGUGCCUUUAUUCGGGUGUCGCAGGAGGACAGCAAGUUUACUUUGAACAUAUUUGAGUGCUCAAAGCAGGCCUUUGUGCCUAGAAAUUCUUCCAUGGAAUAAGGGAAUAGGACCUCGGUUCUGUUUUAUUGGUUCUUGGAUCCGAAGUAAUGGUUAGGAGGGACAGGCGGGGGCAUUUGUAUAGCCGUGUAAGAGGUGAAAUACUUGGAUCGCCGCCAGACAAACUGCUGUGAUGAUAUUCGCCAGGGAUGCUUUCAUUGAUCUUUAGCAAAAGUCUGGGGUUCGAGAAUAUCACGUAUCGUCCUAGUUUUGGUCAUAAACGACACCCACUGAAGAUCCGUGGUGGAUAACAAAAGAAAGUCCGACCCGCUAAAUAGUACGCCUGUCAUCCGUUCUCGUGCAGGUUGCGUUGUCCAUUGUCUCCUCGUGGGGUAGUGAGGGUAAGGCAGUUCUCGCAAAUCGAGCAACGCGUAGCCAAUUCAAACGAAUCCUAAAGCCAGAACAAGAUUGUUUCGUAGUUUCAAAGGUACUAAAUUGAAAUUCAUAAGAGUUACAAAUGUGUGCAAACCUCAGGCACGCGGCCAAAUGGACCCCACAGCAAAACUCAAAGGCUGAAAACCCCGUGGCUCAAGUGCGACAGGCAGAAACGGUUCAAGGCCAAAACCAGAUGUCUCACAUGGCUAGACAAACGUGCAAAUGUGUGGCGUACGGAUGUGCUUUUCAAAGUGACGUCAAAAAUGGUCAAAUUCACAAAGCGCGUGUAAUAUUUGGAAGGGUUUUCAUUAUUUGGCCUUUACACAGCCGGCCAAGAUCCUUCCGCGAAAAUAGUUAUCUGAGGUCCAAGAUGAGGUCAAGAUUCUCACCCUACCUACCUAUUACUUAUUGUCAGUGCCUGUGGAUACUAACUUUUGUGUUAGCUGCACAUGGAAAGGUCUUCCGUCUCAGCCAUCAUUUGCACAACCCAUAAGAAAUCAAUUCCAAAUCCCGCUGCACAAAUUGAGAUUGGCGUAUUCAUCAGAAGCCCUACGAACACAGUUAGAAGCAUUAUCA
This 1862-nucleotide ribosomal RNA is filed under the name Fasciola hepatica (liver fluke). RNAcentral describes it as "SSU rRNA". The stretch from base 3 to 1152 matches the Rfam family "Eukaryotic small subunit ribosomal RNA", at positions 4 to 1116 of the family's 1831-position model. The record is from RNAcentral. Lineage: Eukaryota; Metazoa; Platyhelminthes; Trematoda; Plagiorchiida; Fasciolidae.